AAUGCUUCCACAUCCUCACCAACACUUGUAAUUUUCUGUUGUUUUCUUUUAGAGUAACCAUCCUCAUGGGUAUGUUCACUCCAAUUUUGAUAAAAGAACAUUGACCUCUGAGUCACCAGAUUGUGAAGACUGGCUCCAGUUAAUGUUUUUAUGCGAAUGAACUCCACGGAGGUGGGGCCGGGUUUGACACUUGGGACAUUGACAAGUCAGUGAAGGGCAUCUCCGGAUCCUCAACCACCAGACUGUAUUUUCUUCGCAAAUCUGGCCAGCUUUGUCUUGUUUUGUCAGCUGUUGUUCUCACUCCUGCUGCUGCCAUUCCUCUCACGACAGAAACACCCUUGUUUCCUGCCUUCUGCAACUGCAAAAGAAAAUCGUCUAUCACAGAGAGAAGAAAAAAAAAAGCCUCCUCCGCUGGGGUUUCCAUGGCAAAGAGACGGCUGUGACUCUCAUCUCCUCAGCCCUACCUCCUUUUCUCUGCUGAAUCCAGCUCCAGUGCAGUACCUCCGUGUGAAGAAGCCAGGGACUGCAUGA
RNAcentral lists this long non-coding RNA (531 nucleotides) under Rhinopithecus bieti (black snub-nosed monkey). Its description in RNAcentral is "lncRNA (ENSRBIG00000046207.1)". Lineage: Eukaryota; Metazoa; Chordata; Mammalia; Primates; Cercopithecidae. The record is from RNAcentral.